This 424-nucleotide ribosomal RNA is filed under the name Rhizopus arrhizus. RNAcentral describes it as "eukaryotic LSU rRNA". It matches the Rfam family "Eukaryotic large subunit ribosomal RNA", at positions 236 to 620 of the family's 3401-position model. Lineage: Eukaryota; Fungi; Mucoromycota; Mucoromycetes; Mucorales; Rhizopodaceae. The record is from RNAcentral.
UUUGCCUUUUGUGAUACGCUUUCAAAGAGUCAGGUUGUUUGGGAAUGCAGCCUAAAUUGGGUGGUAAAUCUCACCUAAAGCUAAAUAUUGGCGAGAAACCGAUAGCGAACAAGUACCGUGAGGGAAAGAUGAAAAGAACUUUGAAAAGAGAGUUAAACAGUAUGUGAAAUUGUUAAAAGGGAACCGUUUGGAGCCAGACUGGCUUGUCUGUAAUCAAUCUAGGCUUCGGCCUGGAUGCACUUGCAGGCUAUGCCUGCCAACGACAAUUUGACUUGAGGGAAAAAACUAAGGGAAAUGUGGCCCACUUGUGGGUGUUAUAGUCCCUUAGAAAAUACCUUGGGUUGGAUUGAGGAACGCAGCGAAUGCUUUUUGGCGAGUUUUCCAGGAAGGUUUUCUGAGGUACUACGGUAUCAAGGUUGAUCUU